RNAcentral lists this ribosomal RNA (394 nucleotides) under uncultured bacterium. RNAcentral's name for it is "bacterial SSU rRNA". It matches the Rfam family "Bacterial small subunit ribosomal RNA", at positions 28 to 413 of the family's 1533-position model. The record is from RNAcentral.
GAUGAACGCUAGCGACAGGCCUAACACAUGCAAGUCGAGGGGCAGCGAGGAUGUAGCAAUACAUUUGUCGGCGACCGGCGCACGGGUGAGUAACGCGUAUGCAACCUACCCGACACAGGGGGAUAACCCGGAGAAAUCCGGACUAAUACCGCAUAAAACAGGGGUCCCGCAUGGGGAAUAUUUGUUAAAGAAUUAUCGGUGUCGGAUGGGCAUGCGUUCCAUUAGCUAGUUGGUGAGGUAACGGCUCACCAAGGCCACGAUGGAUAGGGGUUCUGAGAGGAAGGUCCCCCANACUGGAACUGAGACACGGUCCAGACUCCUACGGGAGGCAGCAGUGAGGAAUAUUGGUCAAUGGGCGAGAGCCUGAACCAGCCAAGUAGCGUGAAGGAAGACU